Monodelphis domestica (gray short-tailed opossum) is the source of this 2127-nucleotide long non-coding RNA. The record is from Ensembl. Lineage: Eukaryota; Metazoa; Chordata; Mammalia; Didelphimorphia; Didelphidae.
UCCAGCGAUAGCACUGCUGGGUUUGUACCCCAAAUAGACAAUAAGUAAAAAGACCUGUACAAGAAUAUUCAUAGCUGCACUCUUUGUGGUGGCCAAAAAGUUGGAAAAUGAGGAGAUGCCCUUCAAUUGGGGAAUGGCUGAACAAAUUGUGGUAUAUGUUGGUGAUGGAAUACUAUUGUGCUAAAAGGAAUAAUAAAGUAGAGGAAUUCCAUGGAGACUGGAACAACCUCCAGGAAGUGAUGCAGAGCGAAAGGAGCAGAACCAGGAAAACAUUGUACACAGAGACUGAUACACUGUGGUACAAUCGAAGGACAGCAUUUUCCUGACUCAGCUUCUCUUGUCCUGAUACAGCUUCCAUCCCACACACAAACCCUACACACAACUUCCUUGGCUCCAGAUUCCCCAGGCUUCUAAGGUAAAGCUUCCUGCUUUCAUGAAACCUUAGUGUUCUUAGCUUUUCUGAUGCAGCUUCUUAGCCUACAGCCAAUAAGAAAUUCAAGCCAUGAUGGAUUAUUUGUCUCUCAGACUUGACAGGGCUCAGGAUCAUAAACUGACUGACCAGGCUCGUUUUCAAAUGAGGAGGUGAUGGAACUAAGUGCCACUCUAUGCUUGUUGGAUAUCCUUUUUGUGUUGGAGCACAGAAAACUUUAUAAAUGCCUCAUCUUGUCCAACCAUGGAAGCUGAAGCAAGGGAUAUAUAGCCACACUUACAACAUCUAAGGAUUAUUGGUCAAAUCCUGGGACAAGAAACUAUAUAGCCUUGUUUACAGUCUUUGUUGUACAGGAAUUUCAUUUUAUGAGAAAUCACUCACCAUUGCUAGAGCUCUAGAGAAGUCUUGAAAAUCACAGUCUACUGAAAUUUGUUUCAUAACAAUAUUCAUUAUGAAAGACUAAAUCCUGUAAUUAUUUAUUUGAUGGAAUUUUGGACAUUAUUUCUGCCAGUGUAUGAGAGGUAUUUACCAACCCCCAUCAUUCACCAGCAACAUUUAUGUAGUUUUUGUUUAACUUUUAAAAAGGUAUGAAGAUGUGUCUGUCCACGGCAAUUUUGCUGGAAAUUAAAAUCACAAGACUGCCUGAGAAAUAAGGUGGGGAGUCUUAGGAGCACUGCCAAUACCCUGAAACAGCAACCUGGUCUUUGGGGUUGCUGUUUGUGUUUAGACCACCAUUUGUGUAUGAAGAAAAAUCAGAAGGAAAGAAAAAAUUAAUGACAUUCUCCUCUUAAAAUCAUAAUAUAUGUUUAAAAAGUACAGGAGUAUGUGCAUUAAUUUUUUUUAAGACUUUUGCCUAAUGGUCCCCCAGGGCCAUUGUUUUCAAGAUAACAAUUUUUCUUAAAAGUAAAAGGGGGCAAAAUGCCAAACCCUAUAUGAAACUUGAGCUGCCAGCAACCUAAUAGUUUGGUCCAGCUCUAAAUCAUGACUAGAUCUAUCAGCAAAAUAUUUCACAGGUUAAACUAAUAGAAAUAUCAGCCUUUGGUUCCUGGCUUGUAUGCGGCAUGUAGUUAUGGAGCUUUAGGAACCUGAGAGUGUACAGACUCAUAUGCCAAGAUUUUUAUACUAAAUGCUUUACUUGAUCAUAUGCUCAUUUUUGUUGUUUGACUCUUGUUGACAUUUUUGUUUAUUUGCUUUAAAACCAAGUAAUUAAGAAAAAAAAAAACAAAAUAGUGUAAGCCAAGUACAGCAUCCUAGCUUUUUUUUCCCUUCACAUUGCCCUCUCCUGUUCUUAUUCUUAUUCUUAAGCUGUGUAAAUCUCUUCUAAUUUCCUAUUAAAAUAGGCAUGGUAUUUAGGAAGCUGGCUUCAAAACCAAGACCUGGGUUCAAGAUCUGCCUCUAACAACUAUUUUUUUUCAAAUAUUAAAUUCUAAUUAAUGAUAUUACAUGUAAGGAGAAAGAAUGAUUUAAAAGGAAAUAAUACCAGUACCAGCUCAUAUAAACUACUUUCUUAAGCAUCUUUUUGUUCCUUCCUAUCUUCAUCCCAUUGUGAGGGAAAACUUACCAAUGAAGGUUCUGUCUUCAUGCGCAUAAAUAGUUUCUUAUGUCUGAUGCAAUUCCUCACAUGAACAUCUAGUGAGCUCUCUAGAGACUUGAGUUUAAAAAAAUAAAGUGAGUAGGAGUUUCGAUAUGGACCCCCA